UCUUUUUAAAAUAGGAUUUAGGCUAUUUUUGAAAUUAAUUAGUUUUAAUUGUAGAGCUUAAAAUUGGUCUUGUUUAUUUUUAUUUUUAUACUUUGAUAAAAUCUGAAAAAUAAUUAAAAAAGGGGAAAAAAGAAAGAAGUUUAAAAUUUUGUGGUCUUAAUUAAAGACCCAAAUUUGGGCCACCCUUUAAUCAAAUCACCAGCCCAAACCCUAAACCCGUGCAAAUACCUGUCCAAACCCAACAAUACUCGACCCAAGCUUCCCCAACCCAGUCCAUUACGCCCCAAUUGAAACGACGACGUAUGGCUUAGAUCAAUCAGAGCCGUUGAUAUUGUUUAAUCGAACGGAUGAGAACUAACGAGGUUUUGGCUAUAUAAGUGUCAGAUAAACGACACCCCUACCCCCAAACCAUCUGCCAAAACACCAUAACAUGCUGAUGUAACGCCACCAUCCCUCCGCCGUCCGCUGCCGGCCGCGAUGCUAUGAUCAACCCCAGAAUUAUACCAUCAAAACUUCUCCUCCUCUUCUUUCCAAUGCCCUAAAUCCCAGCCCUCAAAUACCAACCUUUCGUCUCGAAUCUUCAAUCAAAACGGCAGUUGUUCCACCGUCCACGGCGGCACCGGUCUCAAAAUUGUCUCAAAUUUACACCACAAUAUCCUCUCACCCUCCUCUCUCUAAAUCCCCAAGCCCCGUACCUCAAAUCUCAGUAGAAAGUCUCGAAUAUUGAUUUGAAAAUCCAGCCAAAACACCACCACUUCCAAACUUUGCCAAAUUAACACCACAUGAUCUCCUUACACCCAUCAUCCCAAGUCUACACCCUUAGCCUUCGAAUUAUCCCCGUUUGGUAAUCUCAGAUCAAAUUUUGGCCGAAAUCCCUAACUUCUGAAUGUUUGGAGACUAGUUGAUUUUGGGAUAUAAUAGCCUUUAAUCAUGUGUUUUAUGAUGAAAACACAUGAUUAAAGACGGUUUUAAUCCAAAUGAUGCCAAGAAAGCUGCCAUCAUUCAAGUUGGAGUUAGUGCACUUCGAGGUAUUUCAUGCUUACCUUCUCCUCUAUUUCAUCUGUGAUUUUUAUUUUUUUAUUUAUUUUAUUCUGUUUACUCAGAAUUUCUUUUAUUUUAGGUAUUGAAUCAGGAUUUUAGUUUAGGGUCUGAUUUCUUCUCAUAAUCAUAUAGUUUGAUUUUAUUUUGUUAAUAGUAAUUUGAUCGUUGAUUUGACUUCAACGAUAGGAUUUCAUGUUUAGCUAUUGCUUUGCAUUUUCUGAUUUUGUGAGUUUCAUCUUUGUUUGUUUGAAUUCAAUUAAUCUAUUUGUUGUUGUAUUAGUUUAAUGGUACAUUUAGUCUUAGAAUUUUCAUUAUUUACAGUUGAAUUUCUAUUUGAUUAGAUAGAUUAGUUAGUUUAGAUUUAAUCGUCGUUUGGUUAUAGCUGAUUAGUUUCGUCUUGUCGUAAAUCAACCAUGGUUAGUCUUGCCAGAGUAAAAGGGGGUUGGGGUUUGAUUUGGCUAUAGUAGUAAUUCAGAACCCAAUUUAAGGGUAGUUUAGGUGUUUUACCUAAAGAAUCUGUUAGUUAGAACACCCUAGACUCUUCUAGAAGAUGGUUGAAGUUAUAAUUCUAAAUCUAUAAUGCAGUAACUUGAGUAACAAGCAAGGAAUAAAAGAACUAGUUGAGUAAAACUUAAAAAAAAUAAGAGAGGGACUAAUAGGUAAAACAAAAUAGAAAGGGUUGCCCUAAGGUUUUGCCUAUAAAAAGGCAUACCAAUUCUUUCUUUCACCGUUUUUUUAAGGCUGAAAUUCCCAGAGGUUUUGAAUUCGGAAAAAUUCCCAAAUUUGGAACUUCGAAAAAUUCCCAGAAGUUUUGAAAAUCAUGAAAAUUCUCAAAAAUUUCCAGCUUCUAAAAAUUCCCACAAAGGUUUGAAGGCGGAAAAAUUCCCAAAGGUCUUUGGAUUCUGAAAAAUAUCUCUAAAAACAAAAUCUUCAGAAAAAUCACAAAAAAUAUUGUUUUAUUAGAGUUUUCUUCAAAUUAGUUCCAAUUCUCAGCCAUCCAUUUGAAUUUUUAGCAUAAAUAAGAUAAAAAUGACUUGAAAUAUAUGUGUUUGAGGUGUUGAAUCUUCAGAAGUUUGUUGGAUUCAAUUUUGAGUGUGUUUUGGAGUUCAGUUGAGGUUAUUUUUGGUCUGUUAUUAGUAUCACUGGUCUAAAAUCAUGUCAUGGGUUCCAAUGAUAUCGAUUUGGGUUUCUAAUUGAUCUGAUUAUUGUGUUAUUGUUAGAUCUCAAUUGUUGAUUCAUGUUGCUAUACUGCUGAGUCACUCCUGACCUCUUCCUUUAUUUCAUUGUAAUUCCAGGUACAUAUAUGAACUUGACUUGGUGUAGCUUUAAGUGAGAAUGAAAUGAAAAGUGUUCUUGCAUCUGCUCCUUGAACCAUCCCUGUGUGGACUACUAUGGUUUAUAGUCGAAUAGAUUUUAAGUAAUUUGUAAUGUUUAAUAUAGUUUAAUUUGAUUAAUACUUGUAUAAACUUGGGACUGUAUAAUUUGGACUAAACAGAAGUGUUUUUUUCGAGUUUAUGUAAAUAGUUGUUGAAUUGAUUGUUAGGAUCAUGACUGCUUCAUUUCCAAUUUUUCAUCAGUGGUAUUCCAAAUAUGAGCAUGUUUUAAGAGCUGUAGUUCAAACACUGAACUGACAGUUUGUUAUAGCUUAGUCGCGGAUUUUAACCUUACCAAUGGUUAUAAUCAGC
Molecule: long non-coding RNA, 2726 nt
Filed under: Nicotiana benthamiana
Lineage: Eukaryota; Viridiplantae; Streptophyta; Magnoliopsida; Solanales; Solanaceae
Description: long non-coding RNA (NBEN_LNC033998)
Source: RNAcentral